Molecule: ribosomal RNA, 393 nt
Filed under: uncultured bacterium
Lineage: Bacteria
Description: partial 16S ribosomal RNA
Rfam family: Bacterial small subunit ribosomal RNA
Source: RNAcentral
AUACGGAGGACGCGAGCGUUAUCCGGGUUCAUUGGGUUUAAAGGGUGCGCAGGCGGCCGUGCAAGUCAGCGGUGAAAGCCCGGGGCCCAACCCCGGAAGUGCCGUUGAUACUGCAUGGCUUGAAUGCGGUCGAGGCGGGCGGAACGGGGCGUGUAGCGGUGAAAUGCGUAGAUAUGCCACAGAACGCCGGUAGCGGAGGCAGCUGGCCAGGCCUGCAUUGGCGCUCGGGAACGAAAGCGUGGGGAUCGAAAAGGAUUAGAUACCCUGGUAGUCCACGCCGUAAACGAUGGGCGCUCGUCGUCGGCGGCAGACAGUCGGCGGCCAAGCGAAAGCGAUAAGCGCCCCACCUGGGGAGUACGGUCGCAAGGCUGAAACUCAAAUGAAUUGACGGGG